This 253-nucleotide ribosomal RNA is filed under the name uncultured bacterium. RNAcentral describes it as "partial 16S ribosomal RNA". It matches the Rfam family "Bacterial small subunit ribosomal RNA", at positions 524 to 776 of the family's 1533-position model. The record is from RNAcentral.
UACGUAGGGUGCAAGCGUUAAUCGGAAUUACUGGGCGUAAAGCGUGCGCAGGCGGUUUUGUAAGUCUGACGUGAAAUCCCCGGGCUCAACCUGGGAAUUGCGUUGGAGACUGCAAGGCUAGAAUCUGGCAGAGGGGGGUAGAAUUCCACGUGUAGCAGUGAAAUGCGUAGAGAUGCGGAGGAACACCGAUGGCGAAGGCAGCCCCCUGGGUCAAGAUUGACGCUCAUGCACGAAAGCGUGGGGAGCAAACAGG